UAGAGAAGUCAAAUACUCCUGAACGCGCCCGAUCUCGUCUGAUCUCGGAAGCUAAGCAGGGUUGGGCCUGGUUAGUACUUGGAUGGGAGAAGUCAAAUACUUCAACAU
This 108-nucleotide ribosomal RNA is filed under the name Panthera tigris altaica (Amur tiger). The record is from RNAcentral. Lineage: Eukaryota; Metazoa; Chordata; Mammalia; Carnivora; Felidae.